RNAcentral lists this ribosomal RNA (837 nucleotides) under Triticum aestivum (bread wheat). RNAcentral's name for it is "partial small subunit ribosomal RNA". Lineage: Eukaryota; Viridiplantae; Streptophyta; Magnoliopsida; Poales; Poaceae. The record is from RNAcentral.
AUGGCCAAGCAUGCUAUAGACUACAACGUGUUUGGGGGGCCUCAAAAAUUUGGAAAGUGGAUGGACGUGCACUCAGCUCCAUCUUGCCCUUCUGAGGCGAGGGCACCAGUUGAGCAUCUAAUUGGGCAGUUUGCUUCUGGAAUGACCGGAUUGCUCGGGAAGUUGGUUGAGGGAUGGACGUCCCUCAGUGCCUCUGACAGCAACGCGGUUGCGAGGCAGUUCACUUCAUUUGUCCCAGAACGUACACAUCGGCCAACCGGUUGCCGUGGCCGGUAUGACUACAACAAUUCUCAAGAGCCCGGCGACACACAAGAUGAUGUAGAUGGAGACGCUGGCCUCAGCAAGGAUGACGACGACGACAUGGACAAUGUGCAUCAGGACACGGAUGACGAUGAACAAGCUGAAGUUCGCAGAGGCGGCAAUAGGGGCAAGGAUGCAACAGAUGCCCCCCCACCGGAGAAAGUGAAAGAACAGACGGCUCCGAGAGGCCAGGGGGUGUUGCCAUCAAGGAGGGGGAGGGCUCCAGAUGAUGUUGGGCAGGGUUCUCAUGGCAAGAAGUCUAAGACCGACCCCGUAGCUGCCAGGAGGAACGAGCCGACCGCUGGUGGACGAGCAAUUAUGAAGAAACAGGCGCCAACGCCAACCCGUGCAUCUGCUCGCUUGAACAAAGGUGCCCCCAUUGCUGGUGACACCCCUUCCACCAGGUCGUCUCCUCGUACGACGACGACCAACACCGGGGAUCCUGUUGUGUUGCCAGACCUGAGGAAGCCAGUCAAGAAGGUGAAGAAGACUACUACGCGUGGGGCCAAGCAUAGCAUCAAUGAUCCACUUGAAUGA